GACGAAGGAUGCAAGCGUUAUCCGGAUUCAUUGGGUUUAAAGGGCGCGUAGGCGGCCUUAUAAGUCAGUGGUGAAAUCUCGCAGCUUAACUGCGAAAUUGCCAUUGAUACUGUAGGGCUUGAGUACAGUUGCCGUUGGCGGAAUAUGACAUGUAGUGGUGAAAUACAUAGAGAUGUCAUAGAACACCGAUUGCGAAGGCAGCUAACGAAGCUGUAACUGACGCUGAGGCUCGAAAGUGCGGGGAUCAAACAGG
This 253-nucleotide ribosomal RNA is filed under the name uncultured bacterium. RNAcentral's name for it is "partial 16S ribosomal RNA". It matches the Rfam family "Bacterial small subunit ribosomal RNA", at positions 524 to 776 of the family's 1533-position model. The record is from RNAcentral.